RNAcentral lists this ribosomal RNA (429 nucleotides) under Gemmatimonadota bacterium. Its description in RNAcentral is "Gemmatimonadetes bacterium partial 16S ribosomal RNA". It matches the Rfam family "Bacterial small subunit ribosomal RNA", at positions 355 to 776 of the family's 1533-position model. Lineage: Bacteria; Pseudomonadati; Gemmatimonadota. The record is from RNAcentral.
UAGGGAAUCUUCGGCAAUGGACGAAAGUCUGACCGAGCAACGCCGCGUGAGUGAAGAAGGUUUUCGGAUCGUAAAACUCUGUUGUUAGAGAAGAACAAGGACGUUAGUAACUGAACGUCCCCUGACGGUAUCUAACCAGAAAGCCACGGCUAACUACGUGCCAGCAGCCGCGGUAAUACGUAGGUGGCAAGCGUUGUCCGGAUUUAUUGGGCGUAAAGCGAGCGCAGGCGGUUUCUUAAGUCUGAUGUGAAAGCCCCCGGCUCAACCGGGGAGGGUCAUUGGAAACUGGGGGACUUGAGUGCAGAAGAGGAGAGUGGAAUUCCAUGUGUAGCGGUGAAAUGCGUAGAUAUAUGGAGGAACGAAAGAGGCGAAGGCGGCUCUCUGGUCUGUAACUGACGCUGAGGAUCGAAAGCGUGGGGAGCAAACAGG